RNAcentral lists this ribosomal RNA (597 nucleotides) under uncultured bacterium. RNAcentral's name for it is "bacterial SSU rRNA". It matches the Rfam family "Bacterial small subunit ribosomal RNA", at positions 338 to 946 of the family's 1533-position model. The record is from RNAcentral.
CCUACGGGAGGCAGCAGUGGGGAAUAUUGGGCAAUGGAGGAAACUCUGACCCAGCGACGCCGCGUGCGGGAUGAAGGCCUUCGGGUUGUAAACCGCUUUCAGCAGGGAAUAAGCGCAAGUGAAGGUACCUGCAGAAGAAGCACCGGCUAACUAUGUGCCAGCGGCCGCGGUAAUACAUAGGGUGCAAGCGUUGUCCGGAAUUAUUGGGCGUAAAGAGCUCGUAGGUGGUUUGUUACGUCGGUUGUGAAAUUCAGAGGCUCAACCCCUGACUUGCAGCCGAUACGGGCAAGCUAGAGUUUGGUAGGGGAGACUGGAAUUCCUGGUGUAGCGGUGGAAUGCGCAGAUAUCAGGAGGAACACCGAUGGCGAAGGCAGGUCUCUGGGCCAAUACUGACACUGAGGAGCGAAAGCGUGGGGAGCGAACAGGAUUAGAUACCCUGGUAGUCCACGCCGUAAACGGUGGGCGCUAGUUGUGCGAACCUUCCACGGUUUGUGCGACGCAGCUAACGCAUUAAGCGCCCCGCCUGGGGAGUACGAUCGCAAGAUUAAAACUCAAAGGAAUUGACGGCUGAGCGNGCGAGCGACGACGAGGGAGAGG